CCUACGGGAGGCAGCAGUGAGGAAUAUUGGUCAAUGGGCGAAAGCCUGAUGGAGCAACGCCGCGUGCAGGAUGAAGGCCUUCGGGUUGUAAACUGCUUUUAUAAGCGAGAAAUAUGAUGGUAACUUAUGAAUAAGGAUCGGCUAACUACGUGCCAGCAGCCGCGGUCAUACGUAGGAUCCGAGCAUUAUCCGGAGUGACUGGGUGUAAAGAGUUGCGUAGGUGGCAUAAUAAGUAGCUAGUGAAAUCUGGUGGCUCAACCAUUCAGACUAUUAGCUAAACUGUUAAGCUCGAGACCGUUAGGGGUAACUGGAAUUUCUAGUGUAGGAGUGAAAUCCGUAGAUAUUAGAAGGAACACCAAUAGCGUAGGCAGGUUGCUGGGACGGUUCUGACACUAAGGCUCGAAAGCGUGGGGAGCAAACAGGAUUAGAUACCCGUGUAGUC
This 442-nucleotide ribosomal RNA is filed under the name uncultured bacterium. RNAcentral's name for it is "partial 16S ribosomal RNA". It matches the Rfam family "Bacterial small subunit ribosomal RNA", at positions 338 to 795 of the family's 1533-position model. The record is from RNAcentral.